AGAGUCACGACUUUGAUUAUUGGGUUUUAUCAAAAAGGAAUUCAAAUUAAAUUCCAAGCAUCAAAACGUCGUUCUAACAGUUGACAAACAUCUGUUAACGAUGACGUUGAAGACGAAAUAUAAAGUUUGGGUAUGUAAUUUAAUUUUUUUUAACGUUUAUGUAUAAAAUUAGCACUGCGUGUUGUACAGUUUAAAAAAUGUUCUUUGCAAAUUGUUGUGGUCAAAAAGGACCCUUUCCCGUCUUUUACAUCAGAUAUAUUUGAUUUAAUCAAGUUAAAAAUGAAAUCUAAUUAGACAAUAACUAUCUCCUUCAUAACCCUUACCCUUGGAUCGGCAAACUAACGUUUUUUACAUGCAUCAUAUUCACACUGGACACAACUUUACCCUUAACACGAGAAACCACGACGGAUGGCUCUAUCUGUAACUCUCUAGAAUCCAUCAAAUUUUGCAUCCAUUUAAUGUGCAAGAAAAUACACUCGCAGAGAAUGGAACUCAGAUCUUGACUAGACUUUCAGAUGGCACGUGGAUGAAGUAGGAUGGAUUGCUUUUUUGGCAUUUUUUUUUUCUUCCACGAACAAGUGUGAAUAACUAUGUAGUUUAUUUUUGUGUUUCUUAUUUCGGAAGUCCCGAUUUGCUUGGUUUCCAUACAUUUUAAACAGCUUUGGAAUCUUGCAUGAUUAUAAAGAUUUACUAAAUAUCAAUUCACGAGCUAAAAUCGGGAAACUUACCGGUUCUUACGAAUAAACAAGUAAACUAAUAAAUACAUAACACUUUUGAUUGGAGAUUGAUCAAAUUAAAUAACAGAAAGAGCGAAGUUUGGUUUUAAGAAAAUUCCAAAUCAUCAUUUUCAAUAAAAAAGUAUAUAUUCAUAUUAUUCUAAAGGUCUUUUUAGUCAUUUAACGAUGGUUACACAAAACCCUAUCUCCAACUCUGUUAUAUGUAGAAUCAAGUGGCUUGGAAAAAAGUUUGAUAAAAAGAGAUCUGCAAAGGAUUUUGGUAUGAAACAAGUUUUUGAAAGAAGAUAAUAAGAGGAUACAUCUCAUCAAAAAGAUUUUCCUUCAAGAUAAUUGCCAUCCCUUGCCUGAAGCAAGGUUUGAACCCGGGUUCAGAGAGCGCAACCACCUUUGGAGAGCAACUUCUCAAACAG
Molecule: long non-coding RNA, 1147 nt
Organism: Arabidopsis lyrata subsp. lyrata
Lineage: Eukaryota; Viridiplantae; Streptophyta; Magnoliopsida; Brassicales; Brassicaceae
Exons: 2
Source: RefSeq, a predicted model, not a curated record